CAUUUUUUGGCCGACGUAGUGGUCCUUCAAAGUCGACUAUCUAACGUUUGGUAUCGAAAUUUGAGACAACUGGUUCGGUAAACGAUCAGUUAACACCCGUACGUCAAAGAAACGCCAGAUCGGUCCAGAAUAUCGCCGCGGUACGUGAAAGUGUGCAGGAGAACCCGAGGCAGUCAAUUCCUCGCCGUGCACAAGAACUCGGUCUGUCACAGUCUUCAACNGGUGUCGAAAUUUGAGACAACUGGUACGGUAAACGAUCAGUUAACAUCCCCCUACAUCAAAGAUCGGUCCAGAAUAUCGCCGCGGUACGUGAAAGUGUGCAGGAGAACCCGAGGCAGUCAAUUCCUCGCCGUGCACAAGAAGUCGGUCUUUCACAGUCUUCAACUUGGCGAAUUUUGCGCCGGGACUUGGGCUUACACUCGUAUAAGAUCCAACUGACCCAGGAGACGUGAAUUGGUUACCAAGAUCGUGUGAUUUGACCCCAUUAGACUUUUUCUUGUGGGGUUUCCUGAAGUCGCAGGUCUAUGCCAAUAAGCCGNGUUUGGUGCGGAUUUUGGGCCGGCGGUAUCAUUGGUCCGUACUUUUUUGAAAAUGACGUUGGUGAGGCCAUCACCGUCAAUGGUGAGCGAUACAGAA
This 636-nucleotide long non-coding RNA is filed under the name Cinara cedri. Lineage: Eukaryota; Metazoa; Arthropoda; Insecta; Hemiptera; Aphididae. The record is from RNAcentral.